GGCCAACCCAAGCUGUACUGUUCAUAUUGGUCUUUCACAGUCAGGCCAACCCAAGCUGUACUGUUCAUAUUGGUCUUUCACAGUCAGGCCAACCCAAGCUGUACUGUUCAUAUUGGUCUUUCACAGUCAGGCCAACCCAAGCUGUACUGUUCAUAUUGGUCUUUCACCGUCAGGCCAACCCAAGCUGUACUGGUCAUAUUGGUCUUUCACAGUCAGGCCAACCCAAGCUGUACUGUUCAUAUUGGUCUUUCACAGACAGGCCAACCCAAGCUGUACUGUUCAUAUUGGUCUUUCACAGUCAGGCCAACCCAAGCUGUACUGGUCAUAUUGGUCUUUCACAGUCAGGCCAACCCAAGCUGUACUGUGCAGUAGGCUAACAGUAGACCUACUAUUGAAACCGAAAAACUGAGUCAGAAAUACACAGGUUUCAGAUUUUCCCCAAUUGUUUCAGGUUCUCGUUUUUCAACACAAUAUUUUUAACAGAAAAACAACCAAAGUGUAUGUUCUAAGUCCAUGACUUUUGAGUUAUGGGGGAAAAAUCUAAGAAAAUUCAAUUUUUUUGAGAGUAGUUACCCUUUAAUUGAAGUGUGCAAGUACCUAGCCCUGUUUGACUAGUAGUGUUUCUCUAGCACAUGAGAUGGAGUUUGCAAAAUAAAUGACCACUGUAUUGACUCAGAUAAUCAUGAUAUCAUUCUGACAGGUAGGCAUAGGCUACUUUUUAGCUAGUUAACGUUCAAUAGAGAAGGUUUUUG
Molecule: long non-coding RNA, 752 nt
Filed under: Salmo salar (Atlantic salmon)
Lineage: Eukaryota; Metazoa; Chordata; Actinopteri; Salmoniformes; Salmonidae
Description: lncRNA (ENSSSAG00000098098.1)
Source: RNAcentral